Molecule: ribosomal RNA, 1478 nt
Filed under: uncultured Bordetella sp.
Lineage: Bacteria; Pseudomonadati; Pseudomonadota; Betaproteobacteria; Burkholderiales; Alcaligenaceae
Description: partial 16S-23S ribosomal RNA intergenic spacer
Rfam family: Bacterial small subunit ribosomal RNA
Source: RNAcentral
GGUUUGAUUAUGGCUCAGAUUGAACGCUGGCAGGAUGUGCUUUACACAUGCAAGUCGAACGCUUGGCACGGACUUCAGUCUGGUGGCGAGUGGCGAACGGGUGAGUAAUGUAUCGGAACGUGCCUAGUAGCGGGGGAUAACUACGCCGAAAGCGUAGCUAAUACCGCAUACGCCCUUCGGGGGAAAGCGGGGACCUUCGGGCCUCGCACUGUGAAACGGCCGAUAUCGGAUUAGCUAGUUGGUGGGGUAACGGCUCGCGGGGCGACGAUCCGUAGCUGGUUUGAGGAGGACGACCAGCCACACUGGGACUGAGGCGGCCCAGACUCUCCGCAGGAGGCAGCGGUGGGGAAUUUUGGACAAUGGGGGAAACCUGAUCCAGCCAUCCGCGAUCUGUGCGAUGAAGGCCUUCCGGGUUGUAAAGCACUUUUGGCAGGAAAAACGGCACGGAUAAUACACGUCCUGGCAAGCGGUACCUACGGAAUAAGCACCGGCUAACUGGUGCCAACAGCCGCGGUAAUACGUAGGGUGCAAGCGUUAAUCGGAAUUACUGGGCGUAAAAGCAUUGCGCAGGCGGUUCCGGAAAGAUGUGAAAUCCCAGAGCUUAACUUUGGAACUGCAUUUUUAACUACCGAGCUAGAGAGUGUGUCAGAGAAGUGGAAUUCCGCGUGCUGGCAGUGAAAUGCGUAGAUAUGCGGAGGAACACCGAUGGCGAAGGCGGCCUCCUGGGAUAACACUGACGCUCAUGCACGAAAGCGUGGGGAGCAAACAGGAUUAGAUACCCUGGUAGUCCACGCCUAAACGAUAUCAACUAGCUAUUUGGGGCGUGGGCCUUGGUAGCGCAACUAACGCGUGAAGUUGACCGCCUGGGGAAUACAGUCGCAAGAUUAAAAAACUCAAAAUUGACGGGGACCCGCACAAGCGGUGGAUGAUAUGGAUUAAUUCGGUACAACGCGAAAAACCUUACCUACCCUUGACGUAUCUGGAAUCCGAAGAGAUUUGGAGUGCUCGCAAGAGAACCGGAACACAGGUGCUGCAUGGCUGUCGUCAGCCGUGUCGUGAGAUGUUGGGUUAAGUCCCGCAGCAGCGCAACCCUUGUCAUUAGUUGCUACGAAAGGGCACUCUAAUGAGACUGCCGGUGACAAACCGGAGGAAGGGUGAGGAUGACGUCAAGUCCUCAUGGCCCUUAUGGGUAGGGCUUCACGAUCAUACAAUGGUCAGGACAGAGGGUCGACAACCCGCGAGGAGCCAAUCCCGAAACCCGAUCGUAGUCCGGAUCGCAGUCUGCAACUCGACUGCGUGAAGUCGGAAUCGCUAGUAAUCGCGGGGAUCAGCAUGUCGCGGUGAAUGCGUUCCCGGGUCUUGUACACACCGCCCGUCACACCAUGAAAUUAGGUUUACCAAGUAGUUAGCCUAACCGUAAGGGAGGGGCGAUUACCACAGUAGGAUUCAUGACUGGGGUGAAGUCGUAACAAAGGUAA